RNAcentral lists this ribosomal RNA (844 nucleotides) under uncultured bacterium. RNAcentral describes it as "bacterial SSU rRNA". It matches the Rfam family "Bacterial small subunit ribosomal RNA", at positions 96 to 953 of the family's 1533-position model. The record is from RNAcentral.
UGGCAAACGGGUGCGUAACACGUGGGUGACCUACCCCAAAGUGGGGAACAACAGACCGAAAGGUUUGCUAAUACCGCAUUCGCUCGGCGAUUCAGUUUGCCGAGUAAAGCCGCCUUCGGGAGGCGCUUUGGGAGGGGCCCGCGUCCCAUCAGGUAGUUGGUGAGGUAAUGGCCCACCAAGCCGAUGACGGGUAGCUGGUCUGAGAGGACGAUCAGCCACACUGGCACUGAGAUACGGGCCAGACUCCUACGGGAGGCAGCAGUGAGGAAUAUUGCGCAAUGGACGAAAGUCUGACGCAGCGACACCGCGUGGGUGACGAAGGCCUUCGGGUCGUAAAACCCUUUUGGUGGGGACGAGUGAGGACGGUACCCAUCGAAUAAGUCUCGGCUAACUACGUGCCAGCAGCCGCGGUAAAACGUAGGAGGCGAGCGUUAUCCGGAUUCACUGGGCGUAAAGCGUGCGUAGGCGGUUAGGUAAGUCGGACGUUAAAGCCCCUGGCUCAACUGGGGGAGGUCGUUCGAUACUGCCCGGCUUGAGGAUGAGAGAGGGAAGUGGAAUUCCCGGUGUAGCGGUGGAAUGCGUAGAGAUCGGGAGGAACACCAGUGGCGAAAGCGGCUUCCUGGCUCAUUUCUGACGCUGAGUGCACGAAAGCGUGGGGAGCAAACGGGAUUAGAUACCCCGGUAGUCCACGCUCUAGACGAUGAGAGCUGGGUGUUGGCAGGGUUUCCUGUCUGUGCCGAAGCAAACGCGUUAAGCUCUCCGCCUGGGGACUACGAACGCAAGUUUAAAACUCAAAGGAAUUGACGGGGGCCCGCACAAGCAGCGGAGCGUGUGGUUCAAUUCG